UCCCAUGUGGUCUAGUGGUUAGGAUACCUGGCUCUCAAUCAGGCGGCCCGGGUUCGAUUCCCGGCAUGGGAA
Molecule: non-coding RNA, 72 nt
Organism: Argiope bruennichi
Lineage: Eukaryota; Metazoa; Arthropoda; Arachnida; Araneae; Araneidae
Source: the annotation of a RefSeq genome assembly